RNAcentral lists this ribosomal RNA (253 nucleotides) under uncultured bacterium. RNAcentral describes it as "partial 16S ribosomal RNA". It matches the Rfam family "Bacterial small subunit ribosomal RNA", at positions 524 to 776 of the family's 1533-position model. The record is from RNAcentral.
UACGAAGGGGGCUAGCGUUGUUCGGAAUUACUGGGCGUAAAGCGCGUGUAGGCGGGUCUUUAAGUCAGGGGUGAAAUGCCAAGGCUCAACCUUGGAACUGCCUUUGGUACUGGAGACCUUGAGUCCGGGAGAGGUGAGUGGAAUUGCGAGUGUAGAGGUGAAAUUCGUAGAUAUUCGCAAGAACACCAGUGGCGAAGGCGGCUCACUGGCCCGGUACUGACGCUGAGGUGCGAAAGCGUGGGGAGCAAACAGG